RNAcentral lists this ribosomal RNA (250 nucleotides) under uncultured bacterium. RNAcentral's name for it is "partial 16S ribosomal RNA". It matches the Rfam family "Bacterial small subunit ribosomal RNA", at positions 524 to 773 of the family's 1533-position model. The record is from RNAcentral.
UACGUAGGGUGCGAGCGUUAAUCGGAAUUACUGGGCGUAAAGCGUGCGCAGGCGGUUAUGUAAGACAGAUGUGAAAUCCCCGGGCUCAACCUGGGAACUGCGUUUGUGACUGCAUAACUAGAGUACGGCAGAGGGAGGUGGAAUUCCGCGUGUAGCAGUGAAAUGCGUAGAUAUGCGGAGGAACACCGAUGGCGAAGGCAGCCUCCUGGGCCAGUACUGACGCUCAUGCACGAAAGCGUGGGGAGCAAAC